RNAcentral lists this transfer RNA (85 nucleotides) under Phycisphaerae bacterium. RNAcentral's name for it is "tRNA-Leu". It matches the Rfam family "tRNA". From Rfam's summary of the family: Transfer RNA (tRNA) molecules are approximately 80 nucleotides in length. Their secondary structure includes four short double-helical elements and three loops (D, anti-codon, and T loops). Lineage: Bacteria; Pseudomonadati; Planctomycetota; Phycisphaerae. The record is from RNAcentral.
GCCCAGGUGGCGAAAUUGGCAGACGCACUACCUUGAGGUGGUAGAGCCUUCACCGGCAUGCAGGUUCAAGUCCUGUCCUGGGCAC